Molecule: transfer RNA, 70 nt
Filed under: Camelus bactrianus (Bactrian camel)
Lineage: Eukaryota; Metazoa; Chordata; Mammalia; Artiodactyla; Camelidae
Also listed under: 1 other name
Rfam family: tRNA
About the family: Transfer RNA (tRNA) molecules are approximately 80 nucleotides in length. Their secondary structure includes four short double-helical elements and three loops (D, anti-codon, and T loops).
Source: Rfam by way of RNAcentral
GGGGAGAGCUUGGUGGCAGAGCACAUGCUUAGCACGCACAAGGUCCUGGGUUCAAUCCCCAUUCUCCCCA